Pseudophryne corroboree (corroboree frog) is the source of this 1970-nucleotide long non-coding RNA. RefSeq lists it as uncharacterized. The transcript is spliced from 3 exons. The record is from RefSeq and is a predicted model, not a curated record. Lineage: Eukaryota; Metazoa; Chordata; Amphibia; Anura; Myobatrachidae.
UUUUGCCCAAUUGUUAACUUUUUUGGUAUGCUAACCAACCUGAAUAAUUCCCUUAAUUACAUCCCGCCAAUGGUAUCACAAGUAACUUAGGCCUGUCAAAAAGAGAAAAAGAAAACCUACAUGAAAUGUUCCUAAGACUGGACACAUCAACUUGACCUAAGACUGGACACAAACUUUCUGAUGUGUUAGUUUUGCGUGCGCUUCGACGUUAUCUGCAGUGUUCUGAAGUAAUAUACUAUAUGCGUGUUUAAAAUGCAGUGGAAAUGCCACCUAGAAAUCUUUUGUGAGGAUGUGUUCGACAACAGAGCAACUUCCUGUGUCGGUGACAUUGAGCUGGGAUUAAGGAGCUGCAUGAGAACUGAGCUUUGCUGGUCAAAAUGGCUUUUCUUAUACAGCAGAGGAGCAUCUAAAAUGUAUAAUCCUCUCUAGCAUCUACUGACUCAAAAGAAAGCAAUCCUGCCUAGCAGUAAUAUAAGGGAGAACAUAACUGCGGGGAUUUCUCCACAAGGGAGACAAGACUCCUAAGAAAGAGAAAUGAAUAACAAAUGACCAGUAUUCAGCACAAAGUCCCUGUGGUUCAGUAAAAAUGAGGUUAGUCCUUAGGGUCCUGCCGACUUGAAGGGAUCCUGAAUACGUCAAGAUGCCACAGAUGCAUAGAAAGAUCACAUUCUGAAAACUUGCUGGAAUCAGUGAGGAUCCUUAAAUGAGACCUUACAGCAGUAGAAAACCAGAGCAGCGGGGCCUAGCAGAAGAAUGAAGCCUUGUCUGGUUUUCAGGGAGUAUUCGGCCUUAACAGGAAAAUAAGCUAUAGAGAAGUGACAGUACUCUAUGUAUUUUUUUAACUAUUUACAAGAUUUGUUCUUGUUAAGGUAAUGUUUUGUUUCUUAAAGAACAUUGGAAAAUAUUUGACAUGAUUGUCUUUGGAUCUGUAGGAGACUUAUCCAACCUCAACAAGAAAACAGAAAUGGAAGCCUCUGUAUUUUCUAUUCCUUUCAUGCCAAUUCUCAGAAGAAGGAGAUACCCCAAAAUGUGGAUCCUGAUCUCCUGUCCUCCAUGAUAAUCAAAAUUCUAUCUGAUACGUAAUUUGAGCUGAAUGAGUAGACUGCGUUAGCUGUACCAGGAGAUGAGGAAGCUACUCUUUUCUGUAGGCGUGUCAUGAUUGACCUCUGAAAAGUACCACUUGACUAUUAACUGUGAACAUUCUUGUAAUAAACCAUUAUGUUGACCUCACAUUAUCCACCAAUAGUGCAAUAAUUUCCAAAUUACCUGACACCCAUUUUAUCAUCUAUUCCGACAUAUGCACCUUUACUCUCUUACAUAUGAGACCUGCACCAACAGCUAAACCUGACCAACCUGAUUAACGCAACACGUAAACUCCUAUUUGAGCGCUCAAACGGGUCACACCCCGGAGGGUGUGAGCUGAAAUGCCGGCGCUAGCAGCCACCGCGCCCAAGCAGGGCAAUAAUUGAAUUGCACCGUUAGGUGCCAGCCAGUGGCUGCCAGCGCGAAAACAUCUGGAAAUAUUCUGCAGCGCUUUACAGAGAAUGUUUGGCAAUUCCCAUCAUUACCUGCCCCAGUGAAGCCUACAAUUUAUAUUCCCUGCCACAUUUACACACACACACACUCACGCCAGGGUUAAUUUUGUCAGGACCCAGUUAACCAUCCAGUAUAUUUUUGGAUUGUGGGAGGAAACCGGAGUACCCUGGGGAGAAUACACAAACUCCGCUCAGUUAGGGCCAUGGUGGGAAUUGAUCCCAUGACCUCAGUGCUGUGAGGUAGUAAUGCUAACCAUCACACCAUCCGUACUGCCCUCCCUACUACUUCCAGCACUUCAAUCACUCAUAGUAGCCCAAACUAUCUGUGAUGUUCAUAUUUUAUUUGUACUGUUCAUUGAUUUUAUUGACACUGUUCAUUGAUUUUAUUGAUGUAGAAAAAUGUUAUGCGCUGACAUUUGUUUGGUUUGUUUGAAA